AAGCCAGUAGCCUGUAAAUCGGUUUAAACUAACUUAUAAAAAUGUAUAAUGUUUUGAAUGUGUUUAACCGUUAAUGAACCUUUUGAAGUCAGGCUCAACAUCCUGAUAAUUUUGGUGCGAAGGAAGGUGGUAAGAGGAAUAGUGAUGGGACUAUUUGAUUCCGAUUCUUUAUUUUUAGUUGACGCAUUUAGAAUGAGAAAGGAUUGUGGAACCCGUGAUAAG
This 222-nucleotide long non-coding RNA is filed under the name Solanum tuberosum (potato). RNAcentral describes it as "long non-coding RNA (STUB_LNC010982)". The record is from RNAcentral. Lineage: Eukaryota; Viridiplantae; Streptophyta; Magnoliopsida; Solanales; Solanaceae.